AGAGUUUGAUCCUGGCUCAGAGUGAACGCUGGCGGCAGGCCUAACACGUGCAAGUCGAACGGCAGCACAGUAAGAGCUUGCUCUUAUGGGUGGCGAGUGGCUGGACGUGGUGAGGAAUACAUCGGAAUCUACUCUUUCGUGGUGUGUGAUAACUGUAGUGGAAACUUACGCUAAUACCUGCAUACGACCUACGUGGUGAAAGCGGAGUGACCUUCGGGCUUCGCGCGAUUGAAUGAGCCGAUGUCGGAUUAGCUAGUUGGCGGGGUAAAGGCCCACCAAGGCGACGAUCCUGUAGCUGGUCUGAGAGNGAUUGAUCAGCCACACUGGAACUGAGACACGGUCCAGACUCCUACGGGAGGCAGCAGUGGGGGAAUAUUUGGACAAUGGGCUGCAAGCCUGAUCCAGCCAUGCCGGCGUGGGUGAAGAACGGCCUUCGGGUGUAAACGCCCUUUUGUUGGGAAAGAAAAGCAGUCGGUUAAUACCCGAUUGUUCUGACGGUACCCAAAGAAUAAGCACCGGCUAACUUCGUGCCAGCAGCCGCGGUAAUACGAAGGGUGCAAGCGUUACUCGGAAUUACUGGGCGUAAAGCGUGCGUAGUGGUGGUUUAAGUCUGUUGUGAAAGCCCUGGGCUCAACCUGGGAAUUGCAGUGGAUACUGGGUCACUAGAGUGUGGUAGAGGGUAGCGGAAUUCCCGGUGUAGCAGUGAAAUGCGUAGAGAUCGGGAGGAACAUCCGUGGCGAAGGCGGCUACCUGGACCAACACUGACACUGAGGCACGAAAGCGUGGGGAGCAAACAGGAUUAGAUACCCUGGUAGUCCGCGCCCUAAACGAUGCGAACUGGAUGUUGGGUGCAAUUUGGCACGCAGUAUCGAAGCUAACGCGUUAAGUUCGCCGCCUGGGGAGUACGGUCGCAAGACUGAAACUCAAAGGAAUUGACGGGGGCCCGCACAAGCGGUGGAGUAUGUGGUUUAAUUCGAUGCAACGCGAAGAACCUUACCUGGUCUUGACAUCCACGGAACUUUCCAGAGAUGGAUUGGUGCCUUCGGGAACCGUGAGACAGGUGCUGCAUGGCUGUCGUCAGCUCGUGUCGUGAGAUGUUGGGUUAAGUCCCGCAACGAGCGCAAACCCCUUGUCCUUAGUUGCCAGCACGUAAAUGGUGGGAACUCUAAGGAGACCGGCCGGUGACAAACCGGAGGAAGGUGGGGAUGACAGUCAAGUCAUCAUGGCCCUUACGACCAGGGCUACACACGUACUACAAAUGGUAGGGACAGAGGGCUGCAAACCCGCGAGGGUAAGCCAAUCCCAGAAACCCUAUCUCAGUCCGGAUUGGAGUCUGCAACUCGGCUCCAUGAAGUCGGAAUCGCUAGUAAUCGCAGAUCAGCAUUGCUGCAGGUGAAUACGUUCCCAGGGCCAUUGUACACACCGCCCGUCACACCAUGGGAGUUUGUUGCACCAGAAGCAGGUAGCUUAACCUUCGGGAGGGCGCUUGCCACGGUGUGGCCGAUGACUGGGGUGAAGUCGUAACAAGGUAGCCGUAUCGGAAGGUGCGGCUGGAUCACCUCCUU
This 1565-nucleotide ribosomal RNA is filed under the name Xanthomonas campestris. RNAcentral's name for it is "bacterial SSU rRNA". It matches the Rfam family "Bacterial small subunit ribosomal RNA". The record is from RNAcentral. Lineage: Bacteria; Pseudomonadati; Pseudomonadota; Gammaproteobacteria; Lysobacterales; Lysobacteraceae.